RNAcentral lists this long non-coding RNA (598 nucleotides) under Neodiprion pinetum (white pine sawfly). Its description in RNAcentral is "uncharacterized LOC124216472". The record is from RNAcentral. Lineage: Eukaryota; Metazoa; Arthropoda; Insecta; Hymenoptera; Diprionidae.
AGUCAUAUUCUAAGAGAUAUAGCCUUUGGAUGUUUCACCCAUCAGGCUAUAACCGAGCGUGACGCAGGUAUAUGGAGGCAGAUAUAUCGAGGCAGCUGCUUAGCUAUUGUUCGUUUAUUUUUGUGAUGCGAAUACUAGGCUUAGGACUUGCCGGAUGUAAAAAAUUCUGUGGUUUGAUGGAUAUAAGUUCCUCAUUCUUGAAUGCAUCAACGUACAAUUUUUAUGUUGAUAAAAUACAUGAGUGCGUCAUAACUGUUGCCGAAUCAAUUUUGUUGUCUGCUGCAAAUCAAGAAAAAAAAUUAACGUGUGAUGAAAAUAAUGUUGAAGAUACGACAGAUGUUACCGUGUCAGGUGAUGGCACGUGGAAAAAACAUGGGUUUGCAUCAUUAUACGGUAUGAAUCUGUCAUGAGUUAUCCUGACUACGCCGAGAGAACUUUUUUUUGAGGGGUCAUAGCAGACGACGUGUCCACGCCUUAAUUUUCAAUAUUUUUCAAUCAAAAUUUCACAAACUACUUACAAAAUAUGUAUCUUUUAUGUGUUAAAUUGAUGGAAUGAAAUAUUCUGUUGAUUAAGUAAAAAAAAAUUCAUAAAAAUGUA